GCAAACUUGGUCAUUUAGAGGAAGUAAAAGUCGUAACAAGGUUUCCGUAGGUGAACCUGCGGAAGGAUCAUCACUGAGAUCGGGGCGUGCGGCAGCAGCACAGUGCGUAGAGGUGUGUACACACACCUUUGCGCGCUCUCUAUCUGCUUUGCUGCGCCCCCAACCAAUCUUGUGUGCACUGUUUUUUAUCUCUUCCACAAAGUCAAGGAGACAUUACCCCCGCGACACGCGUGGCAGCCUGUGUUGUGUGUUGGCAAGUAGCAGCGCGUAUGCGCGCCGCUUGCCAACCGCACACGCGCGCCAUGUCGUGUUGUGGUGCGGGUGUGGUGUUCUUUCUUGUUCUCUGUGUGUAAUCUCUUGUGUAAAUUACUGUCUAACGUUAUAUACAUAACUAACAUGAACACAACUUUCAACAAUGGAUCUCUUGGCUCUCGCAUCGAUGAAGAACGCAGC
RNAcentral lists this unclassified non-coding RNA (453 nucleotides) under uncultured fungus. Its description in RNAcentral is "partial contains small subunit ribosomal RNA, internal transcribed spacer 1, and 5.8S ribosomal RNA". The stretch from base 1 to 73 matches the Rfam family "Eukaryotic small subunit ribosomal RNA", at positions 1759 to 1831 of the family's 1831-position model. Lineage: Eukaryota; Fungi. The record is from RNAcentral.